CUUUAAAUUCCAGCCACCCAAAUUCUGUUCUCCCAUUACAGCCAGGGUGUUACAGAAGGCGCUGGAGGAAUUCAAAAACCCCAAAAGUGAAUAAAUGCCAGGGCACAUGGGCUGGCUGAACAAAGGCCAAGUUAUAGAAAACAAGAAGCAACAUCCUGUAGUCAAAAAAGAGAGAGAAGAAGAAAAGGAAAACACAGUACCCCGUCUAUCUCAACGUUCCCUUCCCAGCUGGCUGACUGUGAGCCCUGGAUGAAAUUAAGAAAAUGUAGCUUCUACCAGACUGUGGCGAAAUCUCCUAAGGGCUUGAUUCUGAAGAGGUGUGGAUGAAGAUUCACAGAAGCACUGCACCUGCAGCAGGACUACUGAGCAUGGUGCUUUGUUACAAUCCACAGUAAUGACAUUAGGAGACGGAGGCAGGCCCUGCACAGGGGUGGGCCUGCAAGAAACCUGGAUUCAGUACAUGUGUACACGAGGCAUUGAGAGCAGCUGUGACUACCCCUGCUUUUCAUUUCUUCUACAUAUAACUCCUCAGCACACUCAAAUGAGAUACUCCUACUGCCAGUCAGUAGUAAUAACUGAUUAUUUUUUUAAAAAGCAACCUCCACUCAUACUCACAUUCCUAGAUUUUUAAGGGCCCGUUAUGACAAUCUGAUCUGAUCUCCUGUAUAACAGACUAGAGAAUUUCGCCCAGUAAUCCCUGCAUAAAGCCCAUAACAUUCACUGAGUUGUAGGGGGCACCUGUGCUCUGCUUAUAUCUUUCCACUCUCUGCACCUCUAUCAUGCCCACUUUUUCUCCUCCUUAACUUAAGGUAUGUGUUUUUUCACACCCCUGAAUGACUAAAGUUUUAGCACUGAAAGUGGCAGUAUAGACACAGCCUCGGUGUGGGCAUAUUGCUAUGCUCAAUUUGCAGAGCACCAGGCACCUUUCUCCCUAAUGGCUGGACACUUUUCUGCACAGGUGCUGAUCAGUUAUUAAGUGGAAAGUGCUUGUGAUUUGGCUCUGUCUACUUUAUCUAUCUAAUCACAUAUAGACACUAAAACUCUCCUUCAUGUCUGUGGGCCAGGAUUCCGUAGCACCCUCACCCUAGUAUCUCACGUUAAUUCUUUCAGAAGGGCUCAGCAGCCUGCAGGAUCCACACUCUGAUAUUCUUCUUUAAGUUACUAUGUCUUCCUGCCUCUAGGUAUCUCCUCUUACCCUUAUGCUCUUUCCAACGGUUCCAGAGAAGAGCCUUUUCCUCUGAAUUAUGAUUUGAUUAAAGAGCAGUUCAUCUACAGCAGAAGCAUGCUGCCCUGUAGAAAAAUAUUGCAAAGAAACAGGAAUAAAUAUUACACAAUGUGAAAUGUUUCUUGUUUGAAAAAGAUGCAGAUGGCUGACCUCAGCGGUUUGGAAAUAUCUAUUCAUCUAUCACUAUCACCAUUAUUGCUAUAACUAGUAUUAGAAAUAGUAAUUAGCCUCGGUGAACUGAAUUAAAGAGAUAGAAGUACUAAGAAAUGAAACCUGCCAUUGGAUGCAAAUCUAAAUGACGUCCAAGAGAAGCUACACAUGCUCAUUCAACAGCAGAAAUGUUGUCAUAAAAAUGUACCACAACUUUGUAAGCAGAUCUAAGAUUUCUCUCCUAGGACACCAACACACAGACUGGCUCAUCUGUUCAGAGGAUGGGGAGGCCACUCACAACAUUUUGCUUCAGCUUUUUCAUUUAAGCUCCUGUAUCUUUCUUUUUAUUGUGUGCUCAUGACAUUUAGGGCCCAAUCUUGUCACUGAUUCCUGUCAGGGGCCAAGUAAUCUCCUUCUCCACUGACGUCAACAAUUUUUGGUUGCACACUUGAGACACUUUAAAGAAGCUUGAUUUUCAGAGGGCCAGUGCCCAGCACUUCCUGAAUAGCUGCUCUCUUUAAAGCAUCUCAUGACGGGCACCCGAGCAUUGAAGUGCUUUUGAAAUCUUUACCUCUUGAGUCACUAUUAA
Long non-coding RNA from Mauremys mutica (yellowpond turtle), 1964 nucleotides. RefSeq lists it as uncharacterized. The transcript has 4 exons. Lineage: Eukaryota; Metazoa; Chordata; Testudines; Geoemydidae. The record is from RefSeq and is a predicted model, not a curated record.